This is a non-coding RNA of Punica granatum (pomegranate), 2694 nucleotides long. Lineage: Eukaryota; Viridiplantae; Streptophyta; Magnoliopsida; Myrtales; Lythraceae. The record is from RefSeq and is a predicted model, not a curated record.
AAACUGGAAAACCGUUUUCUGCCGUCGCAGCCAGCCAAGCCAACCUCGCUCAACGUUCACCUCACGCUCCGAUUUCAGAGCUCCCCUGCGGCUGCAUGCACAGCUACUCCCUUUGCGCUUUAGAAAUCAGUGACUUCAUCGAAAUUUUCCCGCCAAAACAGAUGCUCCGGUCUCUCCACUCUCACCUCCACACACCCUCUUUGGCUCCCAGUUCGAGCCACCGGUGUCCCAAGUCCCCGCCGUUUUCGUUCCAUUUCCCGCCACGGCCCUUUCCCCUGCGUAAACUGGGAAAGAGUCUUCCUGGGCACCGGAGAAAUUUUCCGGGUUGUUCGGCUUCUUCUUCUGUGCCGGAGGAUGAUUUCGAAGUUGAGCAGCUUGAGCUGGCCCGCCUCUUGGACCUGCUGCCCGAGGGGAUGCGGCGGCGGGUCACCGAGCACCCUGAGCUCCAUCAGCUGAUCGAAGUCGUCAUGGAUUUGGGCCGGAAACCGCUCGCUCGGUUCCCUUCCGGUGACUUUGUGUUAUCGGAUUGUCCUAUCACCCAUGAAGAUCUAGGGCACGCCACGUCUCAGGUCGGUGACUUUGCUGUCGAUAACCGAGCUGGAAUCAGCCGCACAUUGCACAGGAUCAGUGCCAUUAGGAACCGGAAGGGAACGAUAAUUGGAUUGACUUGUCGUGUUGGGAGGGCAAUAUCUGGAAGUGCUCCUCUAUUGCGUGAUUUAGUGCAGAAUGGAGCUUCGCUGCUGCUUAUUGGCCCCCCCGGUGUGGGGAAAACUACCAUUAUCAGGGAAAUAGCUCGGAUGCUUGCAAAUGAUUACCGGAAACGUGUGAUGAUUGUUGACACGUCAAAUGAGAUAGGUGGGGAUGGUGAUAUACCUCAUGCAGGCAUAGGCAAUGCCCGCCGAAUGCAAGUUCCGGACUCUGACAUGCAACACAAGGUACUAAUCGAGGCUGUGGAGAAUCACAUGCCACAAGUGAUUGUAAUUGAUGAGAUUGGCACCAAACUCGAAGCAAUGGCAGCUAGCACCAUCGCGCAACGCGGGAUUCAGCUAGUUGCGACAGCUCAUGGUGUAACCAUUGAGAAUGUGAUCAUGAAUCCUGCCCUGGAGAUGCUUGUGGGAGGAAUUGAGAGUGUUACAUUAGGGGAUGAAGAGGCUAGCAGGAGGAGGGUGCAGAAGACAGUGCUUGAGAGAAAAGGACCUGCAACAUUCAACAGUGCUGUUGAGAUAGUCUCGAAGACUGAGUUGCGAAUUCAUCGAAGCUUAGAAGCAACAGUCGAUUUCAUUCUUUCAGGCAGACCCCCUAAUGUUGAAGUUCGCAAGAUAGGCCUGAAUGGUUCUCAAGAAAUCUUGAUGGAACCUCUGAAAGACUCUUUCUCCACCAACGAUCAAGAUAUUAGGUUAAGUGAUAUCCCCGAGAAGAUUUGUGAAAUAGCUGGAUUUAACGAAUAUAACCUUGAGCCUCGAAGCAUGGAUGAAUCCAAGGAUGAUGAGGAACCGAUCCACUUGUAUGCAUAUGGGAUUGCAGAAGGGAGCAUAAUACAGGUAAUGAAGCAGUUAGAAAUGAGCGAAGAUGCAAUUCUGAUAACGGAUGACAUAAGCAAGGCAGAUGCACUACUUGCUUCCCAGUCCAAGCUCAAGAAGAACCCACGGAUCCAAGCUGCUGCAAGCUUUCAUGGAAUUCCCACUUAUGUUACUAAGACAAGCUCAAUGAUGCAAAUAACGAAGGCGCUGAGGGCAUUAAUGCGGGAGCGAGAGGUUUUGGAGGAUUUAGAGACAGCAGACAAGUCCAACUCGGUGGAAAUAAAAGAUGCUUUGGAGGAGGCAAGAGUCGCUAUUGAGCAAGUCGUAAUUCCCAAGGGAGAACCUGCGGUGCUACUUCCGAGGUCACCUCAUGUUAUGACUCUUCAGAUCGAACUUAUAAGGAAAUACGGGCUCCAAUCAGAACAGGUAGUGAAAGAGCCAGAUGUGCGUCUCAGAAUUCUUCCAUUUCAUGCUAAAAUUGAUGAAGGAAACGUAAUUUCUAGUGAAAGUGAUGGAGAUGACGAGUUUGAUGAGUUUGAUAGCAGCAGCAGCGUCACGAAUGGUUCCAUCUACAGAAUAAGCAGACUGCCCCUCCUUCCUGAUUAGUCAGUAUAGGUUUGAAGUCAGAAGGGACGACGAAGUCAAUUGGAAAGUUGAUGUUGACAAUGAUAAGGUGCUGGAAUCGAAACCUAAAGAUGCCAGCUGCGAUAUUUGAGGUUGAGAAGGUUGAUGGAUCGAGUGACAGCGUAUCGUGCAGAUCGAGUGGAAAGUAUUGCCAGUAUAGCAUGACCUUGAUGGAGCACUAGAAAGGGAAGUCUCGACGGUCGUGACAAAUGAGGUGAAGUAAACUACCGAACCAACCACAUUAUGAUCAACUGACGUGGCGAGAAGUUCAAUAUCUAUCGAUUGGAUUUUGUUCAGACCAGAAAAAGGAGAAGGCGGCGGAAAAGCAGACACAUGUCAGCAUUUGGCGGCGGGAAAAGAUGAAAAUUUGUCCCUUUUGCGAACCACGUGGCAAUUGAAAUCCUCCGACGGUGUCUGAACAUCUUUCCUCCCGUCUUUGUUGAAAAAAUUUUGUAUACGCCAUGCCAUAAUGCCAUUCACUAGGAUCUUCCAUCCACCAACAUUACAAACGUGCCGAAACAAAUGGCAUGGCAUCUUUAUUGAGGAUGAA